UAACAUACAACAUUCAAAAUGAUUUCAAAAGCUCGCUUUUGAUUCGUUUCGAAUACAACCACCAACAACACCAUACCGCAUUUGAUACCCCAUACCAAUAGCUCUAUGAAGUAUUUAGCAAUUUUUGUAUAGCCAAUCCUAUUUAUUCCUUCUAUAC
Molecule: unclassified non-coding RNA, 157 nt
Filed under: Yarrowia lipolytica
Lineage: Eukaryota; Fungi; Ascomycota; Dipodascomycetes; Dipodascales
Source: RNAcentral